AUAUCAGUCAUGCAUAGCAUAUCAAUAAGCGGAGGAAAAGAAACUAACAAGGAUUCCCUUAGUAACGGCGAGUGAAGCGGGAAGAGCUCAAAUUUGAAAUCUUCAAGGUUUUACCUUGACGAAUUGUAGUUUAAAGAAGUGUUUUCUGUUGAAGUUUUGGUAAAAGUUCUUUGGAAUAGGACAUCAUAGAGGGUGAGAAUCCCGUAUUUGACCAUUACUUUCAGCUUUGUGAUACACUUUCAAAGAGUCGGAUUGUUUGGGAAUGCAGUCCAAAAUGGGUGGUAAAUUUCAUCUAAAGCUAAAUAUUGGCGAGAGACCGAUAGCGAACAAGUACCGUGAGGGAAAGAUGAAAAGAACUUUGAAAAGAGAGUUAAACAGUACGUGAAAUUGUCAAAAGGGAAGCGUUUGACACCAGUGUUGUUUUCUCGAAAAUCAAUUAAAAAGAGUUGGAUUUUGUGUUGUAUUGACUUUAUCAGCUUUCUUCACUCUUUUCCAGCUUUUUUUAAUGCACUUUUCGUUUAACAAGUCAACAUCAGUUUCUUUUGUUGUAAAAAGGUCAUUGGAAGGUGGCUUUCUCUUCGGAGAAAGUGUUUAUAGCCUUUGACUCAUGCAAUCGGAGAGACUGAGGUCUGCAGCGUAGGAUCCUUCGGGGUUAGAUACAUUUGUGCUAAGUUAUAGCUUUUCAUAGACAACUUGUUGACUAUGUUUAGUCUUGUAGCUUACUCGCUUAUGCUAUUUUACCUACGCUUAGGAUGUUGAACUCUAUCACACACAG
RNAcentral lists this ribosomal RNA (775 nucleotides) under uncultured Neocallimastigales. RNAcentral describes it as "partial large subunit ribosomal RNA". It matches the Rfam family "Eukaryotic large subunit ribosomal RNA", at positions 22 to 621 of the family's 3401-position model. The record is from RNAcentral. Lineage: Eukaryota; Fungi; Neocallimastigomycota; Neocallimastigomycetes; Neocallimastigales.